ACUACGGGAGGCAGCAGUGAGGAAUAUUGGUCAAUGGGCGCGAGCCUGAACCAGCCAAGUCGCGUAAGGGAGGACGGCCCUACGGGUUGUAAACCUCUUUUGCCGGGGAGCAACGGGCGUCACGUGUGGCGCCACUGAGAGUACCCGGAGAAAAAGCAUCGGCUAACUCCGUGCCAGCAGCCGCGGUAAUACGGAGGAUGCGAGCGUUAUCCGGAUUUAUUUGGUUUAAAGGGUGCGUAGGCGGAUCGUUAAGUCAGUGGUCAAAUUGAGGGGCUGAACCCCUUCCCGCCAUUGAAACUGGCGCUUUUGAGGGGAAGAGAAGUAUGCGGAAUGCGUGGUGUAGCGGUGAAAUGCAUAGAUAUCACGCAGAACCCCGAUUGCGAAGGCAGCAUGCCGGCUUCCGACUGACGCUGAAGCACGAAAGCGUGGGGAUCGAACAGGAUUAGAUACCCGUGUAGUC
RNAcentral lists this ribosomal RNA (460 nucleotides) under uncultured bacterium. Its description in RNAcentral is "partial 16S ribosomal RNA". It matches the Rfam family "Bacterial small subunit ribosomal RNA", at positions 338 to 795 of the family's 1533-position model. The record is from RNAcentral.